Long non-coding RNA from Canis lupus familiaris (dog), 2074 nucleotides. RefSeq lists it as uncharacterized. The transcript has 2 exons. NCBI's taxonomy places the organism in Eukaryota, Metazoa, Chordata, Mammalia, Carnivora, Canidae. The record is from RefSeq and is a predicted model, not a curated record.
UUGAAAUGAUGAUGUCGAAGCUAUAUAUCCACAGGAACUGUAGACCUGCGAGGGACAUGGCGUGUGCUCACCUCGCAGAAGGAAGUUCGCCUUGAAGACAGCUUUCAACUAGCCUCUCUUUUAUGGGAGUUAGCAUGUAGCUCCACUCUAAGGGAAGAUGUUCCUGGGAAAUUGCUGUAUUGGGCUUGCACACGCAAAACUUAUGGGCCUGUACCUUCCACUUGCCUCUCACACAAGUUCGGUCUAGCCUCAAAGAUAGGCUCUUCCGACGUUAAGUGUACAGGCAAUAUGGAUGUGAGAGGUUCAGGCCAGAAGCUCAAGUCACUGAAGUAUGUAUACUUCAGAGGCAGGUAUAAGGUAACCUCUCAUUGAUUGGAGUAAGGAGCGACUCCAUUCUAAUUGAAGAUAUUACACAGAAAUCACCCUUUUGAACUAGGAUGCACAUGACUACAGGACCUGCCACUUCCAUAUGCAUUUCACACAACUUCUUCCAGAAUCCAACAUAAGAUUUCAGAAGCAAGAUCGACAGGCAUUUAGGUUGUAGGAGGGUCCGGCUAUGUUCUCAGCUCCGACAAAUAAGAAUGUGGUGAAACCUGCUUUCAGCCAGCUUCGUUGCUAACGUAAGAUUUUCAGAAGCUAGGUGGACAGGCUAGGUGAGGCUUCAGGGGGACAUUGGGCCGUGUUCAUGCUGACAGGAGUCCCGGUCUCCUCAGGAUCCGCGGUUAGGCAUCAGGAGGAUGUGGGGCCACGUCCACACAACAGGACACUGACUUCCUCAGGACCCCCGGUGUAGACUUUGGGAAAUAUGGGGAUGCGUCCAUGCGGACAGAAGACCCCAGCCUUGUCAGGGCUGUGGUGAGGCCUAAGAAAGAUGUGGGUGCCGCAUCCACACUGACAGGAGUCUCCGGCCUCCUCAGGACGCACUGUGAAGGUUUGGGAAGAUUUGGGGCCACAUCCAUGCUGACAGGAGCUCCCAGCCUCCUCAGGUCUUAUGGUCAGGCUUGAGGAAAAUGUGGGGCCACGUCAACACUGACAGGACCCCCGUCCUCCUCAGAACCUGCACUUUGGCUUCGGGACAUAUGGGGCUGCUUCUAUGCUGACAGGAGCCCACAGCCUCCUCAGGACCCGCAGUGAGUAUUCGGGAGAAUGUGGGGCCAUGUCCAGGCUGACAGGAGCCCCCGGCCUCCUGAGGACCUGCUGUGAGGCUUCCAGAGGAUGUGAGGCAUAGUCCACAGUGACAGGAGACCCAGAGUCCUCAGGACCCGCUGACUAUGACUCAGGAACACAUGGGGCCGCGUCCGCACUCACAGGAGCCCGGCUUCCUCAGGACCCCCUGGAGGACUCUGGAGGUGCCGUUGGGGGCCACGUCCACAUCAGAAGGGACUACUCAGAACCACAGGGGGCCUGGGAUGGAUGGACCUGUUCGAACCCUGAACUUAAAGAGGAAAGACCUUCAUUUUCUUGGCCUCCUUGCGUCCCCUCCCAUCCUAUCUAGCUCUUUCCCCCUUCCCCGGAGCUCCUGAGAGAGCAAUUGCAAAUGACCUCAACUUGGCAGGGUCUGUUGGGGGACAGGCCCAGGGAUUUGGGAUCAGGGAGACCUGGGGUGCGGGCAUACCGGCUGUGCAUCGGGAUUUGAUGCUGCAGACUCAUUCCCUAAGGCUAUCUUGACAACUGACUUUGUACAUAGAAAAACUCUCCUUUAUCUUUAAAAGAUGAAGAGCCAGUCAAAGCCUUUUUUCUCUGCCCAUCUGAUUGCUCAGAUUCCAAUGUGAGACGUAUUUCCUGUUAAUAAGGAUAAUUUACUAUCCGUAGUACUAUGGUUAAAAUAUUCUGACACAAUUAAUUCAGAGGGAUGAGGGUUUCUCACCUCUUUCUUCACAGCUCAGUCACUCCUCAGGAAAUGCAUCUUUAUGGAUUUGGAAAGAACUGAGAGACAUUAUUACCAAUGGUCCUAUUAUUAUGUGAAGGAUCCUUCCCUGAGAUUCUUCCCCUGUUUCAACUGACACUGACACACUUUGAACUCUUUGGAAGACAAAUGUCAAGGAAAUAAAUGUUAUGCAUUGCUAAUUUUAAA